GACGAACGCUGGCGGCGUGCCUAAUACAUGCAAGUAGAACGCUGAAGAGAGGAGCUUGCUCUUCUUGGCUGAGUUGCGAACGGGUGAGUAACGCGUAGGUAACCUGCCUUGUAGCGGGGGAUAACUAUUGGAAACGAUAGCUAAUACCGCAUAACAAUGGAUGACACAUGUCAUUUAUUUGAAAGGGGCAAUUGCUCCACUACAAGAUGGACCUGCGUUGUAUUAGCUAGUAGGUGAGGUAACGGCUCACCUAGGCGACGAUACAUAGCCGACCUGAGAGGGUGAACGGACACACUGGGACUGAGAAACGGCCCAGACUCCUAAGGGGGGCAGCAGUAGGGAAUCUUCGGCAAAGGGGGAAACCCUGACCGGGCAACGCCGCGUGAGUGAAGAAGGGUUUCGGAUCGUAAAGCUCUGUUGUAAGUCAAGAACGAGUGUGAGAGUGGAAAGUGCACACUGUGACGGUAGCUUACCAGAAAGGGACGGCUAACUACGUG
Molecule: ribosomal RNA, 497 nt
Filed under: uncultured bacterium
Lineage: Bacteria
Description: partial 16S ribosomal RNA
Rfam family: Bacterial small subunit ribosomal RNA
Source: RNAcentral